AGUGAACGCUGGCGGCAGGCCUAACACAUGCAAGUCGAACGGCAGCACAAUAAGGCUUUGUCCCUGCGGGGCGAGAGUCGGAGGGGGGUGGAAUGUAUCGGGAUCUGCCCUUUUUUGGGGGGGAACCCGGGGAGACCGUGACUAUAACACCAUACGCGCCAUGGGGGAGAACGCGGGAGAUCCUGAGCUUGCGCGGAAGUGUAAGCGGCGAUGUCGGAUUAGCUAGUUGGCGGGGUAAAGGCCCACCAAGGCGACGAUCCGUAGCUGGUCUGAGAGGAUGAUCAGCCACACUGGGACUGAGACACGGCCCAGACUCCUACGGGAGGCAGCAGUGGGGAAUAUUGGACAAUGGGCGCAAGCCUGAUCCAGCCAUGCCGCGUGUGUGAAGAAGGCCUUCGGGUUGUAAAGCACUUUUGUUGGGAAAGAAAAGCAGCCGGUUAAUACCCCGUUGUCAUGACGGUACCCAAAGAAUAAGCACCGGCUAACUUCGUG
RNAcentral lists this ribosomal RNA (492 nucleotides) under uncultured bacterium. RNAcentral describes it as "partial 16S ribosomal RNA". It matches the Rfam family "Bacterial small subunit ribosomal RNA", at positions 29 to 507 of the family's 1533-position model. The record is from RNAcentral.